RNAcentral lists this transfer RNA (85 nucleotides) under Felis catus (domestic cat). It matches the Rfam family "tRNA". Rfam says of the family: Transfer RNA (tRNA) molecules are approximately 80 nucleotides in length. Their secondary structure includes four short double-helical elements and three loops (D, anti-codon, and T loops). The record is from Rfam by way of RNAcentral. Lineage: Eukaryota; Metazoa; Chordata; Mammalia; Carnivora; Felidae.
GCCUAGGUGGCUCAGUAGGUUGAGCGUCCGACUUUGGCUCAUGUCAUGAUCUCACAGUUUGUGGGUUCGAGCCCUGCCUCAGGCU